Molecule: non-coding RNA, 1083 nt
Organism: Paramuricea clavata
Lineage: Eukaryota; Metazoa; Cnidaria; Anthozoa; Malacalcyonacea; Plexauridae
Source: the annotation of a GenBank genome assembly
GUGUGGAUUAGUUGUUGGUAGGGUUUGCUAUCCCUGUUACGACUACGAUUGUAGGGACAGUGUGAUUACGAGAAGUCGGGGAAUAGACGUUCAUGGUAGGUUCGAAUCAUUCUGUACCAGGAGGAAAAUAACAUAUUCCGAUCUAUCAGCACAUGAAAGACGUUUGAUAGCAGAGAACAUUCGGAAAGUUUAUAAGGCAGAAAAACCUGAAAGAAAGAGACUUCCUAAUCUUAAUAUUCUAACUUACCAGAUAUGUAAAAGACGUAACAUAAAGUUGAACGAGAAGCUUCUUAAUAUUCCGGUAAGCAAAGCUUCACACGACCGGUGUAAAAAAGUAUUCCAAACACUGGGCUGGGAAUACAUUGACCAGUCAUCGUCCCUGUAGGCAGUGAUGUAUACCUAACGCCCAACGGUAUAUAGUUCUGUGACGUGGGGGACUGGUAAAAAAAAAGAAUUUUAAUGCUUACUUAGCAUUAAAAUUGGAAUAGUAAUUUAAGGAUGAUAACAAUGAGAAGAAUUUCAACCGUUAUCGGGAUGAGUAGGCAGAACACUAGACACAUCCAUAUUAGUCUCCACAGUAUCCGGGUUCUAGUCAUUUACUUUAUCAUACUUUUUUACCGUUGUACUAACAUAUCCGAUUUGGGUGUGAGCAUUGAUAGUGAGAUCACCACCUUCUAUACCAAUUCCGAAACUGAACAUUUUCCUUUUCCGAUGGUUCUUGUCGUACUUCACUUCGUCUGUGGUCUCGCGUUUUUUGUGUAAAUAUCCCAUUUUUAUUUGUUCUUCUUUUUAUUUUUCGCUGACUUUGGUUUUUCUUCCUUCGCGGUCUUUGUUGACGGCCCCGCUUUACGUUCCUUACACGACGUAACGUACUUGAUGUUAGUUGUCUUGGAUUUAACAUAACCGAGAUUCAUUCCACCUCUACUAAGUUUUAUAUCGACGUUGACGGUUUUGUCCCUUUUUAAAUUUUCCUUAACUUUGAUGCUGUCGCUAUUUAUUCUUUUAUUAAUACGAAAAGAAAAUCCAUCUUGAAGUGAUAACCCCACCGAUAAACAUAGUGCCGAGAAGGUUAAUCAGGUUGUU